GACGAACGCUGGCGGCGUGCCUAAUACAUGCAAGUCGAGCGAAGCUUUUUUAACUGGUGCUUGCACCGACUUAAACAACUGAGUGGCGAACGGGUGAGUAACACGUGGGUAACCUGCCCCAAAGCGGGGGAUAACAUUUGGAAACAGAUGCUAAUACCGCAUAACCACAGAAACCGCAUGGUUUCUGUGUCAAAGAUGGUUUCGGCUAUCACUUUGGGAUGGACCCGCGGCGUAUUAGCUAGUUGGUAAGGUAAUGGCUUACCAAGGCAAUGAUACGUAGCCAAACUGAGAGGUUGAUCGGCCACAUUGGGACUGAGACACGGCCCAAACUCCUACGGGAGGCAGCAGUAGGGAAUCGUCCGCAAUGGACGAAAGGCUGAUGGAGCAACGCCGCGUGAGUGAAGAAGGUUUUCGGAUCGUAAAACUCUGUUGUCAGAGAAGAACGUGUGCGAGAGUAACUGUUCGUGCAGUGACGGUAUCUGGCCAGAAAGCCACGGCUAACUACGUGCCAGCCGCCGCCGUAA
This 524-nucleotide ribosomal RNA is filed under the name uncultured bacterium. RNAcentral's name for it is "partial 16S ribosomal RNA". It matches the Rfam family "Bacterial small subunit ribosomal RNA", at positions 28 to 523 of the family's 1533-position model. The record is from RNAcentral.